This 250-nucleotide long non-coding RNA is filed under the name Elaeis guineensis (African oil palm). RNAcentral's name for it is "long non-coding RNA (EGUI_LNC052301)". Lineage: Eukaryota; Viridiplantae; Streptophyta; Magnoliopsida; Arecales; Arecaceae. The record is from RNAcentral.
GGUAUAAAAUACCCCCCAGUCGAAGUUCGUGAUGAGAGUGAUCCUCCGGGGAUCCAACUGACUUUCGACCUCUGGCAACGUCUCUUCAAGCCUCCCAAGCAGCCGAGCCUCCACCACACUCCCAAGCUUCAUCGACGGGCAGGACCCCGCUAGCGUCGAUCGGAUUCUUCACAACGUCCGGACUCCUACGGAAGCCGGACCUCGCCCCCGACUCCAACUACAGGCAGACUUCGUCCAGACUCCUACGGGA